This 697-nucleotide long non-coding RNA is filed under the name Anser cygnoides (Swan goose). RNAcentral describes it as "lncRNA (ENSACDG00005011462.1)". Lineage: Eukaryota; Metazoa; Chordata; Aves; Anseriformes; Anatidae. The record is from RNAcentral.
UGCUUCAGCUUAUUUGCACUAUUAUACCUGACAAAAAUCUGAUGGUUUUUCAUUGGAGAAAACUACAUGAAAAUCUGGUGAUGCCAAAUGAGCUGUGGAAAAUUGGCAUGAUAUUUUUCCACUGACCACAGAUGUAAAAUGUGUGUUCUGAUAAUCCUGAAGUGAUACUCUUACACGUUCCUCUUUAGUGUUUCCUGGAUGGAAAGCUUAGGAAGCGUUGAAGCUAACAGUAAUAUCGUUGCCAAUAAUUUUGGCUGCCAGCUCCAGUUCUCUAAAUAGACAAGCCAAUUAGUAGUGUUUCCCAUCCUGCUUCUGGAUGUAAGUAAUUUCCAACAGAGAGCAACUUAGAGAGGUUCCUGCAGGAUCAACCAAUUACCAGCAUCACAUCGGCAAGUCUGGUGGCACUACUUAGAGCUGUGCUAAGCUGGAAGCUGUUCUCACCUGCUACUGCAUGUCUGUUUUACAGAAAACCAUCAAUGCUUGGAGAAUUCCUUCUACAUCAAGAUGUAAAUCCUUCUGCCGCCUUUGGAUGCUUCACUUAAAUGACUCUAAUCUAGUUCUGUCAGUCAAGUAGAUUGUCCACGAUCAUCUCUGGUAAGAAAAUAAUAUAUAUUUUUUGUAAGUACGUUUUAUGAAGUAGAUAUUUUUUUUAUUGAGAUGUACUCAGUAUAGAAAGUAAACCUGUGUCGUCAUAGGA